AGAUGAACGCUGGCGGCAGGCUUAACACAUGCAAGUCGAGCGGGGGAAGUUGCUUCGGUAACUGACCUAGCGGCGGACGGGUGAGUAAUACUUAGGAAUCUGCCUAUUAAUGGGGGACAACAUCUCGAAAGGGAUGCUAAUACCGCAUACGCCCUACGGGGGAAAGCAGGGGAUCACUUGUGACCUUGCGUUAAUAGAUGAGCCUAAGUCGGAUUAGCUAGUUGGUGGGGUAAAGGCCUACCAAGGCGACGAUCUGUAGCGGGUCUGAGAGGAUGAUCCGCCACACUGGGACUGAGACACGGCCCAGACUCCUACGGGAGGCAGCAGUGGGGAAUAUUGGACAAUGGGGGGAACCCUGAUCCAGCCAUGCCGCGUGUGUGAAGAAGGCCUUAUGGUUGUAAAGCACUUUAAGCGAGGAGGAGGCUCUUCUAGUUAAUACCUAGGAUGAGUGGACGUUACUCGCAGAAUAAGCACCGGCUAACUCUGUGCCAGCAGCCGCGGUAAUACAGAGGGUGCGAGCGUUAAUCGGAUUUACUGGGCGUAAAGCGUGCGUAGGCGGCUUUUUAAGUCGGAUGUGAAAUCCCCGAGCUUAACUUGGGAAUUGCAUUCGAUACUGGGAAGCUAGAGUAUGGGAGAGGAUGGUAGAAUUCCAGGUGUAGCGGUGAAAUGCGUAGAGAUCUGGAGGAAUACCGAUGGCGAAGGCAGCCAUCUGGCCUAAUACUGACGCUGAGGUACGAAAGCAUGGGGAGCAAACAGGAUUAGAUACCCUGGUAGUCCAUGCCGUAAACGAUGUCUACUAGCCGUUGGGGCCUUUGAGGCUUUAGUGGCGCAGCUAACGCGAUAAGUAG
This 848-nucleotide ribosomal RNA is filed under the name actinobacterium mCFU59. RNAcentral describes it as "bacterial SSU rRNA". It matches the Rfam family "Bacterial small subunit ribosomal RNA", at positions 26 to 867 of the family's 1533-position model. The record is from RNAcentral. Lineage: Bacteria; Bacillati; Actinomycetota; Actinomycetes.